This is a long non-coding RNA of Homo sapiens (human), 2186 nucleotides long. Ensembl annotates it as long intergenic non-protein coding RNA, regulator of reprogramming. Its record names the gene LINC-ROR. The record is from Ensembl. NCBI's taxonomy places the organism in Eukaryota, Metazoa, Chordata, Mammalia, Primates, Hominidae.
GCUCAUGAAAUUUGGUGAUGUGACUCGGAUAGGGGGACCUCCCUUGGGAGAUCAGUACCCUGUCCUCCUGCUCUUUGCUCCGUGAGAAAGAUCCACCUACAACCUCAGGUCCUUAGACCAACCAGCCCAAGAAACAUCUCACCAAUUUCAAAUCCAGACCCCACUGGAAAUCGGACUGUCCAACUCACCUGACAGCCACUCCCACAGCCGCUGGAACUCUGGCCCAAGGCUCUCUGACUCCUUCCCAGAUCUUCUUGGCUUAGCGGCUGAAGACUGACGCUGCCCGAUCGCCUCGGAAGCCCCCUAGACCAUCACGGACGCCGAGCUUCGGGUAACUCUCACAGUGGAAGGCUGGAGUGCAGUGGUACAAUCAUGGCACACUGCAGCCUCAACCUCAUGGGCUCAGAGAGGGGGUUUUGCCAUGUUUCCCAGGCUGGUCUCGAACUCCUGGGCUCAAGUGAUCCGCCCAGCUCAGCCUCCCAAAGUGCUAGGAUUACAAGCAUGAGCCACUGCACCCAGCCAAAAGCCCAAAAUGGUCUCAGGAAUGGGAUCAGCAGGUCUCAGGGUUGUACUCUCCUGGAUCUCUCACCAGCCACCUCAAACCAGCUGCCAUAGCCUGUCCACUUCCACUCCAAUCUUCUCUUCCUUCAUCACCUCCCUUGCACACCCUGAUAACCUCGAAAGAGAACUCUUCCCAAGGCUCUGUUCCAAACACAUCGCCACUCUGCUUAGAACCUUCAAUGACUCCUCAUGGCCUAGGAGGUUUCUCUCCCAUCUGGAUCCAGCUGACGUUCCCAGCACCUUCUCCUGACUCCUGUCUUUUCUUGAACCAGUUCUGCCCAACAAGGAGGAAAGGGCUGACAGAGUGAAAGUCCCAGGGCAUGUGGGAAUGUGACUCUUUUCACUUUAAAUUCUAUGACUGGAAAGUUUUGGGCAGAGUUGGACAUGUGCACUUAGCUUCCAGAAGACAGAAUCCUUUUAAAAGAGUCAGAGAAAACACUGGCUUCCUGCCAUGACAUGAGAUACAGACAGGAGAGUUGGGAAGCUUUUUAAAGAUGGCACUAUGACUACAAUCACAGAAACUCUCCAUGAGGAAGUAAAAGAAAGCACCUGCAACACUCCAGCUAUGCAGACCACUCUGUAAUGGGCUCAGAUCUGGACAGGUGUGUGGAAAGGUGGGUCAACAGGUCAGGCGUCACAGACUUGGAACAUUCAUGGUGGAAAAGAAAAAGCCCCAAAGAAGAGACUUCAGGAUAAAUGAGAAAAUACUCAAGACAGCAAAAGUCUCUUUUAGAAAUGUUGGAGAAAGAACACUUAAUGUCAGGAGUUACUGUUGAUUGAUGGCCUUACUGUGUAGCAGGUGAGAAACCCAUUGUUCAGUUCCCUAAAGUCACCCUAUUCUCCCAAUCAUCCUAUGGAGGGGGAACCAUGAUGGUUAUCCCCAUCUUAUAAAUAAAGCAACAGAGGCUUAGAAGGACGAACUCUUUUUCUCAAGGUUACCCAGAUCAUUUUGCAGAAGUCCCUAGAUUUGAAUCAUGCUCUUGCUUUGAGGUUAAAGACACAGGGGAAGUCGAACUCCUUAUCUCCUAUAUCCUGAAUAGGGAAAACCAAACAUUGUCAAGAGGAGAGGAAGCCUGAGAGUUGGCAUGAAUCAGAGUGCUGGGCAGUCUGGAGUCUUCCCCACUGAGUUGAUGAUGGAACAGUAGAGUGGGGCCUGAGCCCCGUUAGGGCAUGAGCUGCUGAAUGAUUCAUGUGAACACCAUGCACAUGGGAGUGAGGUUUUGAGCAGUGUGCCACAGGAGCCUACCCUCAGGCCCCACCAUAAAAUGUAGGGCCAGUCCUACAUUUUAUCAAUGACUUGCGUGAACACAGAAAAUGUGGAUACAACCAAAAGGUAACAAUCCAAUUAAAAAAUGGACAAAAAACUUGAAUAAACAUUUCUCAAAAGAAGAUAUACAAAUGAUCAAAAAGCAUAUGAAAAAAUGCUCAACAUCGCUAAUUGUAAGAGAAAUGCAAAUCAAAACUAUAAUGAGAUACCACCUUAUAUUGAUUAGGAAGACUGCUAUAAAAAUAGUAAACAAACAAACAAACAAAGUAAGUCUUGGGGAGGAUGCAGAGAAAUUAAAAUUUUUGUGCACUGUUAGUGGGAAUGUAAAAUGGUGCAGCUGUUACGGGAAACGGUAUGA